AGAGUUUGAUCCUGGCUCAGGAUGAACGCUGACGGCGUGCCUAACACAUGCAAGUCGAGCGGUUCUCUUCGGAGAAGAGCGGCGGACGGGUAAGUAACGCGUGGGUAACCUGCCUCAUACACAUGGAUAACAUACCGAAAGGUAUGCUAAUACAAGAUAAUAUAAGAGAUUCGCAUGGGUCUCUUAUCAAAGCUCCGGCGGUAUGAGAUGGACCCGCGUCUGAUUAGCUAGUUGGUAAGGUAACGGCUUACCAAGGCGACGAUCAGUAGCCGACCUGAGAGGGUGAUCGGCCACAUUGGAACUGAGACACGGUCCAAACUCCUACGGGAGGCAGCAGUGGGGAAUAUUGCACAAUGGGCGAAAGCCUGAUGCAGCAACGCCGCGUGAGCGAUGAAGGCCUUCGGGUCGUAAAGCUCUGUCCUCAAGGAAGAUAAUGACGGUACUUGAGGAGGAAGCCCCGGCUAACUACGUGCCAGCAGCCGCGGUAAUACGUAGGGGGCUAGCGUUAUCCGGAUUUACUGGGCGUAAAGGGUGCGUAGGUGGUUUCUUAAGUCAGGAGUGAAAGGCUACGGCUCAACCGUAGUAAGCUCUUGAAACUGGGAAACUUGAGUGCAGGAGAGGAAAGUGGAAUUCCUAGUGUAGCGGUGAAAUGCGUAGAUAUUAGGAGGAACACCAGUAGCGAAGGCGGCUUUCUGGACUGUAACUGACACUGAGGCACGAAAGCGCGGGGAGCAAACAGGAUUAGAUACCCUGGUAGUCCACGCCGUAAACGAUGAGUACUAGGUGUCGGGGGUUACCCCCUCGGUGCCGCAGCUAACGCAUUAAGUACUCCGCCUGGGGAGUACGCUCGCAGAGUGAAACUCAAAGGAAUUGACGG
Molecule: ribosomal RNA, 877 nt
Filed under: uncultured bacterium
Lineage: Bacteria
Description: bacterial SSU rRNA
Rfam family: Bacterial small subunit ribosomal RNA
Source: RNAcentral